RNAcentral lists this ribosomal RNA (332 nucleotides) under uncultured bacterium. RNAcentral describes it as "bacterial SSU rRNA". It matches the Rfam family "Bacterial small subunit ribosomal RNA", at positions 568 to 898 of the family's 1533-position model. The record is from RNAcentral.
GAUGCAGGCGGCUUUUCAAGUCGGAUGUAAAAUCUCCUGGCUUAACUAGGAGGGAUCGUCCGAUACUGUUAGACUAGAGUGCAGCAGAGGAAAGUGGAAUUCCCGGUGUAGUGGUGAAAUGCGUAGAUAUCGGGAGGAACACCAGUGGCGAAAGCGGCUUUCUGGGCUGUUACUGACGCUGAGGUCCGAAAGCGUGGGGAGCGAACAGGAUUAGAUACCCUAGUAGUCCACGCCCUAAACGAUGGACACUAGGUAUGGGGAGUAUCGACCCUCUCCGUGCCGUAGCUAACGCUUUAAGUGUCCCGCCUGGGGACUACGGCCGCAAGGCUAAA